AAAUUGAAGAGUUUGAUCAUGGCUCAGAUUGAACGCUGGCGGCAGGCCUAACACAUGCAAGUCGAACGGUAACAGGAAGCAGCUUGCUGCUUUGCUGACGAGUGGCGGACGGGUGAGUAAUGUCUGGGAAACUGCCUGAUGGAGGGGGAUAACUACUGGAAACGGUGGCUAAUACCGCAUAACGUCGCAAGACCAAAGAGGGGGACCUUCGGGCCUCUUGCCAUCAGAUGUGCCCAGAUGGGAUUAGCUAGUUGGUGAGGUAACGGCUCACCAAGGCGACGAUCCCUAGCUGGUCUGAGAGGAUGACCAGCCACACUGGAACUGAGACACGGUCCAGACUCCUACGGGAGGCAGCAGUGGGGAAUAUUGCACAAUGGGCGCAAGCCUGAUGCAGCCAUGCCGCGUGUAUGAAGAAGGCCUUCGGGUUGUAAAGUACUUUCAGCGGGGAGGAAGGUGUUGUGGUUAAUAACCGCAGCAAUUGACGUUACCCGCAGAAGAAGCACCGGCUAACUCCGUGCCAGCAGCCGCGGUAAUACGGAGGGUGCAAGCGUUAAUCGGAAUUACUGGGCGUAAAGCGCACGCAGGCGGUCUGUCAAGUCGGAUGUGAAAUCCCCGGGCUCAACCUGGGAACUGCAUUCGAAACUGGCAGGCUUGAGUCUUGUAGAGGGGGGUAGAAUUCCAGGUGUAGCGGUGAAAUGCGUAGAGAUCUGGAGGAAUACCGGUGGCGAAGGCGGCCCCCUGGACAAAGACUGACGCUCAGGUGCGAAAGCGUGGGGAGCAAACAGGAUUAGAUACCCUGGUAGUCCACGCCGUAAACGAUGUCUACUUGGAGGUUGUGCCCUUGAGGCGUGGCUUCCGGAGCUAACGCGUUAAGUAGACCGCCUGGGGAGUACGGCCGCAAGGUUAAAACUCAAAUGAAUUGACGGGGGCCCGCACAAGCGGUGGAGCAUGUGGUUUAAUUCGAUGCAACGCGAAGAACCUUACCUGGUCUUGACAUCCACGGAAGUUUUCAGAGAUGAGAAUGUGCCUUCGGGAACCGUGAGACAGGUGCU
RNAcentral lists this ribosomal RNA (1052 nucleotides) under Salmonella enterica. RNAcentral describes it as "bacterial SSU rRNA". It matches the Rfam family "Bacterial small subunit ribosomal RNA", at positions 1 to 1042 of the family's 1533-position model. Lineage: Bacteria; Pseudomonadati; Pseudomonadota; Gammaproteobacteria; Enterobacterales; Enterobacteriaceae. The record is from RNAcentral.